CACACCGCCCGUCACACCAUGGGAGUUGGUAACGCCCGAAGUCAGUGACCCAACCUUUUAGGAGGGAGCUGCCGAAGGCGGGACUGAUAACUGGGGUGAAGUCGUAACAAGGUAGCCGUAUCGGAAGGUGCGGCUGGAUCACCUCCUUUCUAAGGAA
This 157-nucleotide ribosomal RNA is filed under the name Fusicatenibacter saccharivorans. RNAcentral describes it as "partial 16S ribosomal RNA". It matches the Rfam family "Bacterial small subunit ribosomal RNA", at positions 1386 to 1533 of the family's 1533-position model. The record is from RNAcentral. Lineage: Bacteria; Bacillati; Bacillota; Clostridia; Lachnospirales; Lachnospiraceae.